CCUACGGGUGGCAGCAGUAGGGAAUCUUCCACAAUGGGCGAAAGCCUGAUGGAGCAACGCCGCGUGGAUGAAGAAGGUCUUCGGAUCGUAAAACCCUGUUGUUAGAGAAGAAAGUUCGUGAGAGUAACUGUUCACGUUUCGACGGUAUCUAACCAGAAAGCCACGGCUAACUACGUGCCAGCAGCCGCGGUAAUACGGCGGUGGAGAGCGUGAUCUGGUUGGUUUGGGCGUAAAGGGAGCGACGUCGGGCUUUUAAGUAGGAUGUGAAAGCCUUCGGCUGAACCGGUGUAGUGGAUGGGAAACUGGGGUACGUGAGUGCAGAAGAGGAGAGUGGAACUGGAGGUGUAGCGGUGAAAUGCGUAGAUAUAUGGAAGAACACCAGUGGCGAAGGCGGCUCUCUGGUCUGUAACUGACGCUGAGGUUCGAAAGCGUGGGUAGCAAACAGGAUUAGAUACCCGAGUAGUC
Molecule: ribosomal RNA, 465 nt
Filed under: uncultured bacterium
Lineage: Bacteria
Description: partial 16S ribosomal RNA
Rfam family: Bacterial small subunit ribosomal RNA
Source: RNAcentral